UCUACGGGAGGCAGCAGUCGAGAAUCAUUCACAAUGGGGGAAACCCUGAUGGUGCGACGCCGCGUGGGGGAAUGAAGGUCUUCGGAUUGUAAACCCCUGUCAUGUGGGAGCAAAUUAAAAAGAUAGUACCACAAGAGGAAGAGACGGCUAACUCUGUGCCAGCAGCCGCGGUAAUACAGAGGUCUCAAGCGUUGUUCGGAAUCACUGGGCGUAAAGCGUGCGUAGGCUGUUUCGUAAGUCGUGUGUGAAAGGCGCGGGCUCAACCCGCGGACGGCACAUGAUACUGCGAGACUAGAGUAAAGGAGGGGGAACCGGAAUUCUCGGUGUAGCAGUGAAAUGCGUAGAUAUCGAGAGGAACACUCGUGGCGAAGGCGGGUUCCUGGACAUUAACUGACGCUGAGGCACGAAGGCCAGGGGAGCGAAAGGGAUUAGAUACCCGAGUAGUC
This 446-nucleotide ribosomal RNA is filed under the name uncultured bacterium. RNAcentral describes it as "partial 16S ribosomal RNA". It matches the Rfam family "Bacterial small subunit ribosomal RNA", at positions 338 to 795 of the family's 1533-position model. The record is from RNAcentral.